Pezoporus occidentalis (night parrot) is the source of this 2810-nucleotide long non-coding RNA. RefSeq lists it as uncharacterized. The transcript is spliced from 11 exons. The record is from RefSeq and is a predicted model, not a curated record. NCBI's taxonomy places the organism in Eukaryota, Metazoa, Chordata, Aves, Psittaciformes, Psittacidae.
CCUAUGUGUAAGGCGUAAUUUAUUAGUGAAGCAACUUUGAACUGGAUGGCAACUUGUUCAAAUCAAAUCACUCAAGGAGUUAGGGGUGUUUGCAAGUGCUGUACUUGUGCAUUCCCAAAGCAUCUAAUGUAAAAAUGCUGUUCUGUUGAGAGUGAUCUUCAUCACUACCAAAAUGCUGAACUCCCUUUCUAAAGGUAGGUCUGAGCUUCCUGCCCCUGCUUUCCUUGCAGCAGAAACUUAUUCCCAUGGAAAAAAUUGAACCCCAAAAAGCAAAUGCCUUGGAGCAACUUCAUCACAUGCUUCUACACUGGACUAGCAGCAAGGAAGUCCCUAGGCUCCCUUCUGCUUUUGAAUGAGCCUGAUACCUAAAUCUCAGUGAGGAAGUCAUUUGCCUGCUGCAGGAGGUCUCCCUUUGGAAGAUGCUGUUCAUAGGCAUAAGCCAGCUGCCUCCUCACCUUCUAGGGCAUCCCCUGCCUUCCCAGAGCUCAGAAGUGCUGCAGAGCUUUUUCCCUUGCAGCUGUAACACAGGCAAGAAAGGAACCCACACUUGGAUCCCUGGAGGCAGGCAAUCUAUUGUCCUUAAAACAAAGGAACUUUUCCUCGGAAGUACCAGCAACAAUGCAAAGUGCCCAAGAGCCUUUACUUCAUCCUGGACCAGGCUUCCUGAUGGUUUCCAGGAUGCUUGUCUGGUCUGACAGCUCUGAAAUGACUGUCUACAUGGAUAUGAGGAACAUGCAAGAAACUUCAGGUGCAAGGUGACUUCUUGUCUCAGUACUGGGGACCUGGGCUUUGAGCAGACCUAAAGGAUGUUGGGUGGACAUAACAGCCCAGAAAAUCCUCCAUACAGCAGAGGAAACUCAUUUUGAAACCUCAAGAGCUGCCGUGAAAUGGGAUCAUCAUCCUCCAGGGAGCUCUGGUGCCUCCAUGCCUUAAGCAGUCGUGACUAACUCUCACACCAGCCUGGCACGUUUCCUUUUCCUCACACCCUGACUCAUUUUGCAUUUUUCUUCCAUUCCUGUGCACACAAAGGGCAGCACAAGACCAGCCGAUCUUUUAGUCUUCUCCAGUGGCUGUUCUAGACCCAGAUAUUGAGCCUAUCUGAGAAAACUGAGAAGCAAAGCUCCUUCUUAAUUCUACCCUGGUGUUUUGUCACUGUGGGUACGGCCAAUGUCAGCAAGGACUCUAUAACUUCAUCUGCCAACUGAGCUCUGGCCAUCAUCCAGGAACAGAGUGUGAUGCUCCCUGUCCCAGGUUGAGGCCUAGCCUCAUCUGCCAGUGCUGUCGUAGGCUUUUUACCCCAAAAUGCAAGGUAUGGAAUCACCUUUUAGAUAGGACCUGGAGAGCUACAGCUGGGAUCCACAGUCUUGUUUGAGUGUCAGCCUGCGUCUCAUCAAGGCAGAUCAGAAAGCAUCAGGCUGGCUUAUGAGGGCAGCACCCCUCCCUUGCCAUAAUCCGUGCUCCUUAUCCAUGCAUAUGAAUGCAAAGAGGAAAUGUUAUUUCUGUGGUGACGCAUCCUUGAGAGAAUCUAAUCUGGAUUUAUUCAGGUCGUAAAACUGACUUAGCACUGUGGUACCUAGACAGCAGGAUAAAUACAACCUUCUAUUUAUAACACUGCCAAUCUGGCACCACUCAUAAGCACUAAAAAUACAACUUUUUUACAAAGCAAGUGGAAUUAAUGGGUGCUGUUUUUGCAUUGUCUCUGAGCCAGUCCCUGAUCCUAGGGCAUGGUGCCUGGCAGACAUUCUGCACAACAUGACUGAAAUGCCACCUCUUUGGAGGGUCAGGUGCUGUGGUAGCAGCAACUCCUUUCUCUUCAGGUGCUCUGACUGUGUGUAACCCCUCCACAAGUCUGGGACAGGAGUUUUGAGUCCUGAUAAUCAAAUGACACAAGCAAAGCCUAGGAAAAAGGCAAUUUGCUCUGCUGGAGCUUCCUGGCACAUGCCUCUGGUCCAACUGUGUGAAGCCCAUCCUCCUCUCCAGCUAAGCUUGUAUGAGCUUGCAGGAGCAUUAAGAGGGUGAAUGCUGCUGGAGGCGGUAUGCGAACAGCUGAGCUGGUGCUAAAGCUGCUGCUCUUCUCUCCCCUCUCUGCCAGGUCCAGCCUGUGUUAUCACCACCGACACUAGGGCUUGGCUGCCAGCACUGGAGGGGAUGCGUCAGACACAGAGGCAGAGCCUGGGCUGACCCGGCUGCACAGCAGAGCCAAAGAACCCCAGUCUCGUCAGGCUUGUGCAAUCCACCAUGUGGUAAUCAAGGGCUGGCUGCCCUAGGACAGUGGAUCUAGAUUAACUUGUCAAGUGAUCUGUUUAAGUUGCAGGUGAACCCACAGUGGAUCUUCUUUCCUAGGACUGAAGUGAGCCUCACCUGCUAACUAUAGAAGCCUUUAUGGCAGAGCUGGCAUGGUUUGAGUUAAGGUGCAGGCAUCAGGCAUGGCACUGUGUGAUGUGGAAGCAACAGACGUCAGUGUUCCCCAAAAUUCAGUCAAAUCGAGAAGGAAAGGCCUGAGUGAAAACAGGAGCCUGGAUAACAGGGGAACACCAGCUUCCAAAGCAAUCCAUCCUCAGACUCCAUUCCUUAGCAGAGAGGAGGACAGUGUUUGGGGGAAGCUGUUCUGGAGGAAAAGCAUCCUUUGCUGAAGCAGGCUCAGGAUGGGAGGUGCACCAGCAAGACAGCUGAAAGGUCUGUGACCAGCCCUGCUGCCUCAAGAAGGAUGUCUUAAAACCAGGAAACCGAGAAGAAGCAAACAGCUUACUGUGGACAAUCAAAAACCAACCUCCAACAAGCCACCUGUCUUCUGGGAACAUUCAGGAUGC